Molecule: ribosomal RNA, 253 nt
Filed under: uncultured bacterium
Lineage: Bacteria
Description: partial 16S ribosomal RNA
Rfam family: Bacterial small subunit ribosomal RNA
Source: RNAcentral
UACGGAGGGGGCUAGCGUUGUUCGGAAUUACUGGGCGUAAAGCGCGCGUAGGCGGACCUGCAAGUCGGGGGUGAAGGCCCGAGGCUCAACCUCGGAACUGCCUUCGAUACUGCGGGUCUCGAGUCCGGGAGAGGUGAGUGGAAUUCCUAGUGUAGAGGUGAAAUUCGUAGAUAUUAGGAAGAACACCAGUGGCGAAGGCGGCUCACUGGCCCGGUACUGACGCUGAGGUGCGAAAGCGUGGGGAGCAAACAGG